Molecule: ribosomal RNA, 324 nt
Filed under: Streptomyces albidoflavus
Lineage: Bacteria; Bacillati; Actinomycetota; Actinomycetes; Kitasatosporales; Streptomycetaceae
Description: bacterial SSU rRNA
Rfam family: Bacterial small subunit ribosomal RNA
Source: RNAcentral
CAUUCACGGAGAGUUUGAUCCUGGCUCAGGACGAACGCUGGCGGCGUGCUUAACACAUGCAAGUCGAACGAUGAACCGCUUUCGGGCGGGGAUUAGUGGCGAACGGGUGAGUAACACGUGGGCAAUCUGCCCUGCACUCUGGGACAAGCCCUGGAAACGGGGUCUAAUACCGGAUAUGACUGUCCAUCGCAUGGUGGAUGGUGUAAAGCUCCGGCGGUGCAGGAUGAGCCCGCGGCCUAUCAGCUUGUUGGUGAGGUAGUGGCUCACCAAGGCGACGACGGGUAGCCGGCCUGAGAGGGCGACCGGCCACACUGGGACUGAGAC